Non-coding RNA from Oncorhynchus masou masou (cherry salmon), 99 nucleotides. Lineage: Eukaryota; Metazoa; Chordata; Actinopteri; Salmoniformes; Salmonidae. The record is from the annotation of a RefSeq genome assembly.
GCUGUGAUGGCCGAGUGGUUAAGGCAUUGGAUUUGAAAUCCAAUGGGGUCUCCCUGCGCAGGUUCGAACCUUGCGCAGGUUCGAACCCUGCUCACAGCG